AACGAACGCUGGCGGCAUGCCUAACACAUGCAAGUCGAACGAGACCUUCGGGUCUAGUGGCGCACGGGUGCGUAACGCGUGGGAACCUUCCCUUAUGUUCGGAAUAACUCCCCGAAAGGGGUGCUAAUACCGGAUAAUGUCUUCGGACCAAAGAUUUAUCGCCUUUGGAUGGGCCCGCGUUGGAUUAGCUAGUUGGUAGGGUAAAAGCCUACCAAGGCGACGAUCCAUAGCUGGUCUGAGAGGAUGAUCAGCCACACUGGGACUGAGACACGGCCCAGACUCCUACGGGAGGCAGCAGUGGGGAAUAUUGGACAAUGGGCGAAAGCAUGAUCCAGCAAUGCCGCGUGAGUGAUGAAGGCAUUAGGGUUGUAAAGCUCUUUUACCCGGGAUGAUAAUGACAGUACCGGGAGAAUAAGCUCCGGCUAACUCCGUG
This 433-nucleotide ribosomal RNA is filed under the name uncultured bacterium. RNAcentral's name for it is "partial 16S ribosomal RNA". It matches the Rfam family "Bacterial small subunit ribosomal RNA", at positions 29 to 507 of the family's 1533-position model. The record is from RNAcentral.